Molecule: long non-coding RNA, 705 nt
Organism: Scylla paramamosain (green mud crab)
Lineage: Eukaryota; Metazoa; Arthropoda; Malacostraca; Decapoda; Portunidae
Exons: 5
Source: RefSeq, a predicted model, not a curated record
CUGACCUAGAAGCAAAACUGGACCACAGCACGUCACUGGAGCACGCGCACUUCUCCUUCACCCGUAAAAAUGCGUAGCUGUGUAUCUGCAGCACAUCGAGUUGGUAUGCAGUUUUCCAUAUCCAGUGAUCUAUGAAAAAUCCAGUACUUCCGAAGCUUCACAAUAAACACAACUCGAAUACCGGCCAGACAAAACCCUUAGGAAGACGCAGGAUGGCUCGAGGAAGCAGCGGCGGGGCGUGCGCGUCUCCUGCGUUUAUCGUCAUCUUGUUGGCAGCGGUCCAUAUCCACUGACUUCCUGGCCAGAAGAUGGGUAAAGCAAACUGUUCAUUUGUACACUCAACGUAGUGAAGCCAAGCGAAAAACAAGAUGACUGUGGGGAAUUCGAAGACCAGAAGCUCUCGCCAAGACUAGUAGUGAUGAAUCUCAGAGAUGGUGGGCGCAGCAACAGCAUGAUUCGGUGGAUGUUGUCCCCACAGUCCUACUCUUCCAUGCCUCUCCUCUCCCCUGACUGAUGGAUGGAAGAACGGUUAUCAUCAUCAGACCUGGAAUUACCUCAUGAAAGUUAUUUCACCAUAUAUGUAUAUCGUUUUCGUGAUUAAUGAUGCAUUUUGCAUUUUUUGCUGUUAAUAAGUGACAUAUUCCUUGAAUUUAUAGGAAAUAUGUUGACAGCUGGGAAGAAUAAUGAAUUGGUUAUUGAGUCUAA